AUUGAACGCUGGCGGCAUGCUUUACACAUGCAAGUCGAACGGUAACAGGUUAAGCUGACGAGUGGCGAACGGGUGAGUAAUGCAUCGGAACGUGCCCGGUCGUGGGGGAUAACGCAGCGAAAGCUGCGCUAAUACCGCAUACGAUCUGAGGAUGAAAGCGGGGGACCGUAAGGCCUCGCGCGAUCGGAGCGGCCGAUGUCAGAUUAGGUAGUUGGUGGGGUAAAGGCUCACCAAGCCGACGAUCUGUAGCUGGUCUGAGAGGACGACCAGCCACACUGGGACUGAGAAACGGCCCAGACUCCUACGGGAGGCAGCAGUGGGGAAUUUUGGACAAUGGGCGCAAGCCUGAUCCAGCAAUGCCGCGUGCAGGAAGAAGGCCUUCGGGUUGUAAACUGCUUUUGUACGGAGCGAAAAAGCUCUCUCUAAUACGGGGGGCUCAUGACGGUACCGUAAGAAUAAGCACCGGCUAACUACGUGCCAGCCGCCGCCGUAA
This 493-nucleotide ribosomal RNA is filed under the name uncultured bacterium. RNAcentral's name for it is "partial 16S ribosomal RNA". It matches the Rfam family "Bacterial small subunit ribosomal RNA", at positions 29 to 523 of the family's 1533-position model. The record is from RNAcentral.